RNAcentral lists this long non-coding RNA (1611 nucleotides) under Homo sapiens (human). Its description in RNAcentral is "long non-coding RNA NONHSAT165911.1". The record is from RNAcentral. Lineage: Eukaryota; Metazoa; Chordata; Mammalia; Primates; Hominidae.
CUUGAGGGAGGAAAGUGCAGGACACCGAGGGGACCUGUGUCUUGUGUUUCAGAUGGCUGGAGUACAGUGGCACGAUCUCAGCUCACUGAAGCCUUACCUACUGGGCUCAAGCGAUCCUCCCACCUCAGCCUCGCACAUAGCUGGGACUACAGGAUAGAAACUUGAUACCUCCCUGCAAGCUGAGGGAGCAGGCUCCGGCCUUGGCCAGCCCAGAAAGGGGAUCCCACAAUGCAGCGGUGGGCUGAAGUGUUCCUCAAGUGCCGCCAAAGUGGGAGCCCAGGCAGAGGAGGCGCCGAGAGCGAGUGAGGGCUGUGAGGACUGCCAGCACGCUGUCACCUCUCAACACUGCGGUGCUGAUAAUGACACUUCCUGAUAAUUAGGAAUGUGGAGCCAAGAUGGCCGAAUAGGAACAGCUCCGGUCUACAGCUCCCAGCGUGAGCGACGCAGAAGAUGGGUGAUUUCUGCAUUUCCAUCUGAGGUUUUUCCCAUGGUGUUCCCUUUCCAAUGUCUUUCUGGAAGUCACACAUUGACCACUAACAACAGGAGAGAGGACAAAGAAAGGCAGCAAAAGACUAUUUCCAAUGCGAAAUAUGAUCAGGUCCUGCUUCCUGGUUGCUGUGAGGAUUCAAUCUAAUAAUAUAUAUUAGAAUGUUCCUGAACCUCUAAAAGGCUUAAAAAAUCUUGACAGGCUUACUGUUAUUCUAAUAAAUGUUCCAAAUAAUAGAAGCGAUUCUUCUUCCAGUGUGCCCCAAGGAAGCCAAAAGAUUGGACACCCCUGGAAACUCAUCAGUCAGAGGAGAUGUGAGUGAGAGGCCUCAAGUGACCCUUUCUGGAAAUUCUUCCAUAUGAAAACAUGGGAGGAGGGAGGAGCUAUGACCAUUUUCGUGAGCUGAUUCACUCCUGUUUGUACUUUGGAGGAAGAAGCUUGGAAUACAGAGAAGCAUGCAGGCAGCAACCCAGGUUUCCUAUGUAGGAACCACAUGUGCAAAAAUGGCAAAAGAAAGAGAGGAGCAAGAGAUCCGCUUAUGAUAAUCCAACAAAACGAUAACUGGAACAGAAAAGAAAACGACGGCCAAUCAAACCCCUGAGUGACUCCACAUUGUCUUUAAUUCUCCUCUAAUCAAAGAGCAGCACACAGUUGUGAGAGGUGGUCCGAGCCGGGGAGAUUAUGCAGAGAGUGACUCCAUUCAGAGAAAUUUUGGCAUGAUUCCUAACCUCUUAGCCUGAGGGAGAAUUUCUUAAAUUUUAUUUGUGGUUCUCACCUGAGAGAAUUGAUGCCUUCAAGAGAGCACCAGACAGAGGCUAAACAGACAUGCAAUAAAAUUAUCCUCCUUGGAUGGGUCAGGAGCUGGCUGAUAACUUACUCUAAGCCUACAUCAAUCAGGGAGCAGCAGGGGCAUCCACAGUCAAGGAGAGCUGAAGGUGGCAGGGCGUACAGCCGCAGAUCAUCUUAAAUAAAGAUAUAGAAGGCAGACUCUCAUAAAAGAAACCAUAAAUGAAACAAUGAAUAACGACUUCUGUUUAUCAUUCUCUAUUGUUUGCAACUUUCACAAUAAGCGUGUAUUGUUUUCUUAAAUAAAUAGCAAACAAUAAACUCAUAUUGAUAUGGCA